GUGGGGAAUAUUGGACAAUGGGGGCAACCCUGAUCCAGCAAUGCCGCGUGUGUGAAGAAGGCCUGCGGGUUGUAAAGCACUUUUGGCAGGGAUGAAAAGCACUGGAUUAAUAACCCAGUGUGUUGACCUAACCUGCAGAAGAAGCACCGGCUAACUCUGUGCCAGCAGCCGCGGUAAUACAGAGGGUGCAAGCGUUAAUCGGAAUUACUGGGCGUAAAGCGCGCGUAGGCCGUCGAGUAAGUCGGAUGUGAAAUCCCCGGGCUUAACCUGGGAAUUGCAUUCGAUACUGCUUGGCUAGAGUGUGGAAGAGGGAAGCGGAAUUUCCGGUGUAGCGGUGAAAUGCGUAGAUAUCGGAAGGAACACCAGUGGCGAAGGCGGCUUCCUGGUCCAACACUGACGCUGAGGCGCGAAAGCGUGGGGAGCGAACAGGAUUAGAAACCCCAGUAGUCC
This 450-nucleotide ribosomal RNA is filed under the name uncultured bacterium. RNAcentral's name for it is "bacterial SSU rRNA". It matches the Rfam family "Bacterial small subunit ribosomal RNA", at positions 354 to 796 of the family's 1533-position model. The record is from RNAcentral.